GUGAAUCAUCGAAUUUUUGAACGCAAAUCGCGCCUUUUUCGGAAGGCAUGUCUGUUUGAGGGCACCAUUUAACAAAUAAUGUGCAUGCUGAGUGUAUUUUUACGCACACGUGCGCACGUUGAUGAGCUUUUCCAAAAAAAGAAAAUUUUUUGGUGGCGCAUAAUAAACAGCGCGAUGCUUUUUUUCAGUUCGAGUGUAGUAAAAUUUUUUCUUGCUUGGGUUGUGAAAAGCGUGAUCGCGCAAUGGGUGUGGCGAUUCUACUAACCCUGCCCCAACGCCACUCUUUCUCGCGAAAGAAUAU
This 301-nucleotide unclassified non-coding RNA is filed under the name Paraglomerales sp. RNAcentral's name for it is "partial contains 5.8S ribosomal RNA and internal transcribed spacer 2". The stretch from base 1 to 65 matches the Rfam family "5.8S ribosomal RNA", at positions 84 to 154 of the family's 154-position model. The record is from RNAcentral. Lineage: Eukaryota; Fungi; Glomeromycota; Glomeromycetes; Paraglomerales.